UCAACUGGACCGCCUUUCCAAUCCUUGCAGUUCGAGCGGACAGAAGGGAAGCUUGCUCCCGGAUGUUAGCGGCGGACGGGUGAGUAACACGUGGGUAACCUGCCUGUAAGACUGGGAUAACUCCGGGAAACCGGAGCUAAUACCGGAUAGUUCCUUGAACCGCAUGGUUCAAGGAUGAAAGACGGUUUCGGCUGUCACUUACAGAUGGACCCGCGGCGCAUUAGCUAGUUGGUGGGGUAAUGGCUCACCAAGGCGACGAUGCGUAGCCGACCUGAGAGGGUGAUCGGCCACACUGGGACUGAGACACGGCCCAGACUCCUACGGGAGGCAGCAGUAGGGAAUCUUCCGCAAUGGACGAAAGUCUGACGGAGCAACGCCGCGUGAGUGAUGAAGGUUUUCGGAUCGUAAAGCUCUGUUGUUAGGGAAGAACAAGUGCGAGAGUAACUGCUCGCACCUUGACGGUACCUAACCAGAAAGCCACGGCUAACUACGUGCCAGCAGCCGCGGUAAUACGUAGGUGGCAAGCGUUGUCCGGAAUUAUUGGGCGUAAAGGGCUCGCAGGCGGUUUCUUAAGUCUGAUGUGAAAGCCCCCGGCUCACCCGGGGAGGGUCAUUGGAAACUGGGAAACUUGAGUGCAGAAGAGGAGAGUGGAAUUCCACGUGUAGCGGUGAAAUGCGUAAAGAUGUGGAGGAACACCAGUGGCGAAGGCGACUCUCUGGUCUGUAACUGACGCUGAGGAGCGAAAGCGUGGGGAGCGAACAGGAUUAGAUACCCUGGUAGUCCACGCCGUAAACGAUGAGUGCUAAGUGUUUAGGGGGGUUUCCGCCCCCUUAUUGCUGCAGCUAACGCAUUAAGCACUCCGCCCGGCGGAGUACGGUCGCAAGACUGAAACUCACAGGAAUUGACAGGGGGCCCGCACAAGCAGUUGGACCAUGUGGUUUUAUUUCGAAUCAACGCGGAAGAACCUUUACAAGUUCUGGACAUCCUUCUGACAACCCCUAGAACAUAGGGGCUUUUCGCUUUCGGCGCACAGAAGUGAACAGGGUGGUUGCCAUGGC
This 1058-nucleotide ribosomal RNA is filed under the name Bacillus pumilus. Its description in RNAcentral is "bacterial SSU rRNA". It matches the Rfam family "Bacterial small subunit ribosomal RNA", at positions 30 to 1049 of the family's 1533-position model. The record is from RNAcentral. Lineage: Bacteria; Bacillati; Bacillota; Bacilli; Caryophanales; Bacillaceae.